CUUAUACUUCCUCUGUCUGAAAAAGCUUGUCCCAAGCUUGUCCCUUAAAUGGAUGUAUCUAGCACUAAUUUGGUGCUAGAUACAUCCAUUUGAGGAACAAGCUUUUUCGGACGGAGGGAGUACUAC
Triticum aestivum (bread wheat) is the source of this 126-nucleotide non-coding RNA. The record is from Rfam. Lineage: Eukaryota; Viridiplantae; Streptophyta; Magnoliopsida; Poales; Poaceae.